Molecule: ribosomal RNA, 422 nt
Filed under: uncultured bacterium
Lineage: Bacteria
Description: bacterial SSU rRNA
Rfam family: Bacterial small subunit ribosomal RNA
Source: RNAcentral
UCGGGAAUUUUGGGCAAUGGGCGAAAGCCUGACCCAGCAACGCCGCGUGAGUGAUGAAGGCCUUCGGGUCGUAAAGCUCUGUCGGAGGGAACGAAUGCUCUUGAGGUUAACAGCCUCGGGAGGUGACGGUACCCUCAAAGGAAGCACCGGCUAACUCUGUGCCAGCAGCCGCGGUAAUACAGAGGGUGCAAGCGUUGUUCGGAAUUACUGGGCGUAAAGGGCGCGUAGGCGGCCCUCUAAGUCAGACGUGAAAUCCCCCGGCUUAACCUGGGAACUGCGUCUGAUACUGGAGGGCUUGAGUAUGGGAGAGGGAUGUAGAAUUCCAGGUGUAGCGGUGAAAUGCGUAGAUAUCUGGAGGAAUACCGGUGGCGAAGGCGGCAUCCUGGACCAUUACUGACGCUGAGGCGCGAAAGCUAGGGGAG